Molecule: long non-coding RNA, 8442 nt
Filed under: Homo sapiens (human)
Lineage: Eukaryota; Metazoa; Chordata; Mammalia; Primates; Hominidae
Description: HSALNT0328319
Source: RNAcentral
CCCAGCUUGAGUGAAGAAUAAAACCGCAUGGCUAUUCUUUCCAGGGAAAAUGGAUUAGGUUUGGAUGAAAGUUGAAGUUUUGAAAUGAGUCUGAAGGUUGUUGGAGUACCCUGAGAAUACAAUCAACUGCUCUACAUAAUCAUUUCCCUUAAUAGUUACCUGUCAGAGCACCUAUUUCUUCUACUACAGGAUUAGCCCAUCAGAAGUAGAUCUGAGUUGGAUAUUUCACUGACUAAAGACUGCUCUAAUAUGUUUCAGUGUUUAAUGUCACUUUCUUUACUGCCUAUGAGAUAAACUAGUGGAAAAGUAUUGGCUCAAAAAGCCAGCAGGUCUGCUGGUGUUACCAGUCAUGUUGCAAUUGUAUUUACCUAUCAGAACGUUGAUCUAAAUAAUAAACCUAACAUUUCCUUCUAAACUGUCAGUGGAAAGAUAUAUUUAUUACAAUGUCCUCCAUCGUUGAGGAGAGAGGAGGUUUAGCUAAAGUUUAAAUGAAAAAAAAAAAAAAGCACAAGCAUAGGACACCACUGAUAUAAGCAAUAGAACAGUAAACAAUUAUGCCCUUUGUUAUGCUAUAUAUAUUUUAUUUACCCAUUUCAAAGGUGGAAAAUAAACCUAGCCCAUCUUUGGGGGGAGUUAAUAAAGUAUUCUGAAUGCAUGAUCUAACAAAACUCGGGGAUCGUUCUAUGUUUUAUUGUUACCCCCCUGCAUAAAGUCUUCUGAAGCUGAAAAGAGAAAGGAAAGGGCUUUUGUGUUAGUUGAUCCUUGGCUAUUCUAGGGCUCAGGUUGGUGUGAAAGGGAUGAGGAGGUCACUUGAAAUCUCCUUUUAUCUACUCUUAUUUUCUCUCUGGAUCAGCAACUUUGAAUAGACAUCAUCUAAUCGCUCUUAAUGGAAAGAAACUAUGGGAGCAACAAAAAUGCCUUUACUCCAGAAGUGAAUACAUGCAUGCGGACAGCUAGCUGAGCUUUCAUAGAACUGAAUCUCUGCACACAUGUACUUAAAGAUUUUUCAGUUCAUGGAUAUAUAUGUCAAUAUUUCCCAUACAUGGGGGGCGAUGAUUAGGUAGGUUAUUUUACCCUCAUGCAUAAGUAUGCACACACGUCUACCUUAGAAUUCUCUAACAAGCAGUCUAGGUGAUACUUUCAGCUGACUCUUCAUUUAGCUUUUUCAUGCCCUCACUCUCUGGGCAUAUUUAAGUACUGAAAAAAAAAAGCAAACAAUUAAGAACACAAUGGACAGCUUUUUCCAGAAGUCAUCUUAUUUCCUUUCUGUUUUCAACUGGAAGUCACAGUGACAGGAGGAUUUCUCUUCAGGGGGAGGAGAUUGUGUGACAGGUGGGAGGUAAUGGGGCAAGACAAGACCUUUACUUUCAAUUUCUCCCCACAAUUUUUUCUUUUUGCUUGGAGUUAAAUUGGUUAAAAUACAAUAAAUAGUGGAAAAUAAGAGCCUGACAUUAGGCAGUUUAAAAGUUUUACAUGCUAUAGACACGUCUCCAAAUUCUUGAAGCUGAGCAAUUUAUCAUAAUUUAUUUGAAAUAGGAAUUAUCUUAGGAAGUCUCACAUGCUGGUUAAAAUGUCCAAGUUGUCUUCCAGGCAUUGUUAUAGUAUUUACUUCAAAAAGAAAAACAUCUCCCAGGACAUUUAAUAUGAAUGAUAAUCCAGAAAAGGACAUUGGAUUUCUAGGACUGAAAGCACUGGGCUUUACCUCCUAAGAGGAGGAUGCUCCCCCCACCCCAUGUUCUUCUAAGUAAAAUUCUCAUUGCUCCCAGAGCUUGGGACACUUUAAUGUAAAAUUCCAUCAAGGGAAUACUUGGUUACUAGGGAUACAAGUUCCCAUCUCAACCUGCCAACCUCUCUUCCUCUGGCUCCAGAUCGCAGAGACCCUGGGCUGUCAGGGCUGGGACUUGGGGGACACCCCCCCAGGCUGCAGGCGAUUGCAGUUCUAAAGUUUGAAGUUGGGUGGGGGAGGAUUAAUCCCUCUUUAACUCCUCUCCUUCCCACCCUCAAUUCUGAACCCCAACGGAUAUGUUUCCCCGGGUUUCCUAGUGAAUAGGAGCAUAGGAGCCGCCCUGUCCAAUAAAGAUUAAAUUAAGUAGAAGAAUCCCAGCCGCUGGAUAUUUGGAAGCUCCGGUGGGGCGUCAAACCGACGUUUAACACAUUUUUUCCACUCACUGUGCACAAAUCCUGGACCUGUUGGGCUUAACUUUUAGAAAGAAAGGAAGAAAAAAAAUAUAAGAAAGGAAGGGGAAAAAAAUCAAACAAAGUCACAGAGAAACCCCACUUUUAAGGGGAAAGUGGCUUUAAACUCAGAGUGGCUAAGGCAGAGGCUGGGCUUCCUGACCUUUCUUUUCUUUUCUUUCCACGAAUCACUCCCAGAGUUGAAACCUGUCCCCCACUCCCCCAGGGCUCAGAACUUUUCUGUUUUGGCGGUCUGACUCUAUGUUUAUUCCUUAGGGAUGAUGUGGUGGCCCAGGGUCAUGACUGGAUGUGUGAACAAGGGGUGAGUUGAGAACCCAGUCGCUUUCUCUGUGGUGACAAUUUCUAAUUUUUUAAAUAAAGGUUUUGGUAGCAUGAACUGAGCAGUUUUCUCCGGUUACUGUCUAGCAGGAGAAACAAUGGUUUUCUCUGCAGGCUUUCAGCCGCUGGACAACUAACCUUGAAGCUGAGGCCCAGUCGGGUGCCUCCUCCCCCGGGGGCCAUCCCAGCCCCCAGAUAUCGGCUGCUCACUCCCACUUGCUCUUCUAGUCCCUGGGCGCAGUCUAGAGGGGCAAAAGGCAAGUCCCUUCGUGGCAAAGGCUUGUCCAUGCAAACACAACAUUGAAUAAAUUAAACUCAAACCAGCUAGUUGGGGUGUAGUAGUUUAGCAGGACUAAUUGCAGACAAUGGAGCUGAAAUGACUUUUCCAAUUAGCUGCUGGUUGGAGUUUAGUUGGAGGAACUGUCAGCUCCAACGAUGGGUAAUUGCUUUAUUGCUCACAAAACUAUCAUCUAUUUAGAACAUAUGUGCUAAUUACUCUGGAUGGGUGUCGAAAAAGAGACCAUAAAUCUAAUAGCACUUAAAAAGGUCUGUGGUGCUUGUAAGCCGCCCCAGCCCCUUGCACAUUCUCUCCUGCCCAGGUUGGCGUGAUAGAUGGCUGUCUUUCAGGAAGAGGAAGGUUUGGACAGGAGGCGAGGACGGGAUGCUCUGGUCAAAUCGCUUGGAGAGACAGCGUCCCGUGCGUGCUGUGCUGAGGCGAUAAAUCACUGUCAUCAAAACCAGUCCCCUCUUUAGUCGCGCACUUUUCAUUUUCGCAAAAGAUUACUUUAGAAAUCUUUUAAUUGGAUUAUGCUGGGAAAUUAAUCUCCUUUAGCCUUGGUUAAAUUUAUUGUGGCCACUGACUGAAGGAAAGCCCUGUCACUGCAGUGAGGGCCAUGUCCCCUUGUUCGUUUUUCCUCCGUCUUCCAGGAUCUCCCAGUUGCGUGUGAUAGUCGUGCCCCAAGUCCUCGGGAGUGACUGGAGUGAGAAAGGGUGGAAAGGCGCAUCUGGGCAAAGGCCGCGGAAGUCCCCAGUGAAUCCCCUUUGUCCUAAACGCUACGUUUCCGUCCCGAAUUCCCUAAUUCCAUAUCCUGCAUCCCCACAGCACCUCGCCUUUACCAACAAGGGGUUCUGGAGGCCCGCUGCCGGGAAGGAGUCUGGAGUGGCAGGAAAAGAAAGUGGGGUGUGUCGGGGGAGCACUGCCAGCCAAACUCACUAGUUUGCCCUCUCCCCCGCACUCCCUUUCUGGGCCUUCGGCAGGGAGCUGCGGUCUUGCGAAGACUACUUCUCUGCGCAAAAACGCACAGCUCGUUCUUGGUGUUCUUCCUGGCACAACUCCGGAGUCACUUCCCCUUGACGUGCAUGGCGCUUGAGGCCGCGGGUCUAGGGCGCUUCUCACUCCUCCUGGCUCCUCUGGCACCUGCGCAUUGUCGGGCGGAGACCUCCCUUCCAGCCUCGCCGCCCUGCGCGGUCAGCCUAGUCCAGCGCGACUCCGGCAGUCGCGGGAAGCGGAGGAUCCGGCCCCGCCGGCCGCGCCUCUCAGCGGGAGAUAACAACAUCUGCCUGAAACGGGAUACCUACUUUUGCAGCUCAUUUGAGCUCUUAAUAGCAGCCCUCUGAGGUGUGGUUAAUUGAUGGGGAUAAAGGCGUAAUGACUUGACAGGGAGACGCCAAUGAUCCUUUAAUAUACUUUUAAAAGAACAACAACCACCCCCAAACACCGGCCUGUCUUUGCUCGGUGGGGGGAAAAGGCAGGGAUCUGGAGUCUGGAAUAACGGCGCUGGUGGUGUUUGUACCUGGAAGCGUCAGUGUGGGGUGAGCCCUGGCUCGCAGGGCUGGGGCACCAGAAAGAGGCCAAGGCGCCCAGCUCGGGCUGACAGCGCGUUGUUGCGUGGCUGCGGGGAGCGAGGAGGGACGGGGAGCCAGCCGAGAGAGCACCGGCUGACAGGUGACCCGGCCGAUAGGCGAAGAGGAGCACGGAGCCGGGGGCAUGUCGCUUCUCCCUGGGCUCUGCCCCUCUAUGAGCCCUUCCCCUACGUGGGGCUGGAUACCCACAAGCCGGGCGCCUCUGUCUGCCCGCCCUCCUUGACUAGAGAGACCCCGUAUCUAGUUUGAGCGACAUCAUCAAGUGGCCGGCGGGAACAGGGGGGUUCCGCUGCUUGGACAACCUCAGGCCCCAGCGCCAGGACAGAGGCACGCGCCCGUGUGAGUGUGUGUACGUGCGCGUGCGCGCAAACCGCUCCGAAACGCACAGCUGGAGCACAGCAGCCCCGAGCACGUGGCUGUAUUUAGACCAAGUCUGUCCAGAACCCCAGUGCCAGGCGUAUUGGGAUUUACCUGCGCGGCAGCUGGGUCCCGCCGCCCGGUCAGAGGAACCCCUGCGCACUAUCCCACCCCAGACCUCCGCUUACCGUUUUCUCCUCAGUACCUUCCCUUUCUUUUGCCCGAUUUCCCUUUGCUCAGUCAGUUCUAGCUGAGUCUCUAGAGGGUCAAAUAAGUGUUUUUACUCGUCGCAGGUACCGAACUUAGGUUCACACAAAUCCUAAAAUGAAAAAAAAAAUCAUAUUGCCUUUUCCGUUUGCAAAGGGGAACCCCCUCCAGAUGUGAGCUGUGGUGUCCCUAGCAGGUUUUGCAAGUCUCUUGUUUUACCUUUGGAAAAAGAUAACCUUGAUGCUUCAGGUUUGAGCUCCCUCUGGAAGCAAAAAGAGAAACGACUCCAAUCACCGUCUAUAUCUUAUUGCAUUGAGAGAUAGCAGGUGUUUAGGCUGCAGCUAUUGUCUGCCUUCCUCCCUGAGCUCACAUAACAAGGAUGAAAGAGUCUAAGGAACUUAGUUUCCCCAAACGCUCUUGCAUAGGAGGGCGGGGAAACUUCGGAAUCAAGGACUUAAAGAAAUGCAAUUGAGUCCCAACUCGCAAAGUGUGUCAGUCUCCAUGUGGUUCCGUCCUUCCGCCGUCACUGUCUAGUCUCAUCUAGUGUCGUUCUUCUGCUUUCUGUAGAUCUCUAGGAACUCAGGAUUCCCUGCCGCUUAGCCGUCGAGCUCCCGACCCCUCCGCAUCCCUAGCCGGGAAGGACUGAGAGCUGAGCUCCAAGGUCGUGGUCUGGUCCUCAGGGAUGAGGUCCCGGGUCCAGACUCUUUCCUUGGUCAGCAACUCCUGCUUAGAAGCUCCCCGCCCCGAAUGGAAUCGUGACCUGGCGCUAGGUCCCCCGCUGGGAGUGCCCGAGGCUUUCCUGAAGGCCCCAGGCCUUCAGGCCGCCAGGGUCCUAAGGUGCCUGUGGCGGCCCCUCGUCCGCCUGAGCCCUGAGAUCAGCGCGGCCCUCGGUGCUGCAGGGCCCCAGGGCGGCCAGGAAACACCUGCCCGAAGUCCAGGCCCGGCCCCACUGCAGUCCAGGACCCUAAUUCUCGAGUGUCUCUUCACGACCCUGACCCCGGAAGGGCGCUCCCUUGCGAACGAAUUUUUAAUUCUGCGGACUGGGAUCCCUUGUAGGGGCCCCUCCGAGGGCCCCUCCCACCCCUUUCCCUGGACUAGCGAACUCCGACCCUAAGCGCGGCCCCGCAGGGAGCGGAUCCCGGAAGCUAGGCCCAUAUCCGGCCGCGGAGCCUUGCGCGCGGGGUUGGCUGCCGGGAGGUCGACGCUAGUGCGGUCCCCCGCGCGGCGGAGGGGCCCGGGCCGCGGUAUCUGCGCACUGAGACGUCGGCGGAAGGCUAGAGGCCGUGCUCUCGCCCCCGCAGAAGGCCACCACUCCUUGAGAAGGCCGGAGGGACAAAGCACCGGGCCUGCGCCGGGGGCAUUCAAGAAGGAAGCCAGGCCCGACCGGGGGUGGCGCACGCUUCCCGAACCCCAGGCCCACGGCCCGGUUCCGCGCGGGCAGUUGGCGCCCCCUCGGACAGGGACUGAGAAACGGAAAUACUACCAUCCUCCAGCCAAUCUGUUGGGAGGACUGCUUGCAGAGGACUCGUGCUCCAGAUGUUGCACUAGAGGCGCUGCAAGUGUGAGCAGCAGGUAGAUGAAACUCAAGAGAAAAGGUGUGGAUAAAUGAAACUAGCCCAUGAUGAACCUGUUUUCUCCGUGACCACAAUAUUAACCAGGAUGAAUGGCGGUGGCAGUGGGCCUGCAUCACAGGUUGCAGCAGAUGUUCUCAAUAUUUCUAUUAAAAUUUCCUUAUUUCCAUAUGCAAGAGGAGCCCCAGAGCUGCAUCCUUAUGGUAGCUACCAUGCCGUGAUGUAAGCUGCCAUUCACUGGGGAGCUUUGGCAAUAGAAUUGGCUAGAUCAGGAAGCCUAUGUCAACUAUGGAACAACAACUUGCAGCUCAUCUCUAUUGAUGAUACACUGCCUCUAGGACUGGGACAGAUAGCCACUGAGUACCUGCUUCAAAUCACCCUGCACGUUUUCUCUUUGGAAAGAUAAGCACUGGAGAACCAUCUCGUUACCUUCAGCAGAAAUGGAAACAAAUCAAGACAUUAAGAAUGCCGCAGUGGACAGCAGUUAUGCAAGGUUCAGCAGAGGAAGUUUUCAAGAUGGUGUGCCUCACUAGCCAGAAAUCAGAAAAGAUCGAAGCUAGCCUUUUCAUCUCAGCUGCUCCUUAAAUCAGUGCAACCCCUCCAAAUUAAUGUGAAUUGAAACUUGCAUUGCUUUUCAACUUAAUUGAAUACUUACUAUAUGUGAACCACUGCACAAAAUAGGGGAAGAAGAUGUGGGAGACAAAGAUGUGGAGCCUGUCUUCAAUAAAUUUACAGUUAGUUUCAGGGUACAUUGUUUUUCUUCUGCUGUUAAUUAGGUGUAUCCCCAAGACAAUAAAUACAUGAAUGGAAAAGUAUAUUCUGUGUUUUAAGUCUCUUUAAUAAAAAACAAAACAAAAUCCAAAAAAACUCCUAACAUGGCAACUCAGGACAUUUUAAUCCUUUUUUUUGUUGUUGGGCUUCUGAUAGGAUCCAUUUUAUUGAUUCCAUAAAUAUUUAGUAGACUUUAGACAUAUUAAUACAUUGUAGUUUGAGUUAAUUUGCAUUAAAUUCUGUUUUUUUCCCCUUAGGUAUAGAUUGUCUGUUGGAAAAAUAUAUUGCUUGUGGAUUUCUUGGGGAGUGGGAAGGUGAAUUAUACCUGUUGUCUCUACAGUCCACUACCUUCCACACCCUAGGGCAGUGGUCCCCAACCUUCUUGGCACCAGGGAUCAGUUUCCUGGAAGACAAUUUUUCUGUGGAUGGUGUGGGGAUGGUUUUGGGAUGGAACUGUUCCACCUCAGAUCAUCAGGCAUUAGUUAGGCUCUCAUAACGAGUGCGCAGCCUAGAUCCCUCACAUGCACAGUUCACAGUAGGGUUUGCGCUGCUAUGAGAAUCUAAGGCUGCCACUGAUCUGACAGGAGGCAGAACUCAGGUGGCAAUGCUUACUGGCCCACUGCUCACCUCUUGCUGUGCGGCCUGGUUCCUAAUAGGCCAUGGACCCCCACAGACGGGUACUAGUCUGCAGCCUGUGGACCCCAGCCCUAGGGGCCUGCCAUUCUGAGUGAGUUAUUAGCAUGAAGAAGAGGAAGAUCUGGAUCAAACGUGGGUGAUGGUACUCAGAGACCCAAGAUAGGAUAGGGAUGGAACAAAAUCCAUCUGGGCAACGGCUCUAUGAAAAUUUGGCUAAGUAAUUAUUUCAGUAUUCAUUGUAUUCAUUGUCCUUCGUGUUCCAUAAGUUAAAUGACUGUCUAAUUUUUCCAAAAAUUUAUUUCUGACUUGAGAAUAAGUGUGUCAUGAUUUUCCCAGUGUAAAGACACUGAUAUAACUGUAGAUACCAGACAUUUUAUGUAGUGUCUAUGACACAUUUUAGUAUGUAUGAGCCAACAAUAGACAUGUCUUUGUCUUGAGGAGUGUCCAUCUGAAUUGAAAAUGUGUCAGCUUUUUUUUAACAUCAUCAACAGACUUCUUAAUUAAGCUGCCAAUACAUACUGCC